UGUGGAGCCCCUGAUGUGUGUGGGAGCUGGGAGCAGUAUGAGGAGAAGAAAGAGACCCAUCCAGAGGAGGCCGACAGGAGGCUGAAGGCGGCCCAGAAACUGCUCUCCUCCUGGGCCACACAGCUGGACACACAGCCCCAGACUCACAGCAAGUGUCCUGGUCCAACGCUCUGUCGUCCACAAGCUAAAGACAUUUCUCCAGAGUGUGUUCUCUGCCAACAAGAAACCAGUGGAGUCAGUUGAACAGCCUGCAAUGCCUGAUCAGAGGCCUGAACUGCCUGCAUCAUGUUGAACAGCCUGCAACGCCUGAUCAGAGGCCUGAACUGCCUGCAUCAUCCCUCAAGGCUCCUCAUCCUCACGCUCAACUUGGGCAAUGACUU
Molecule: long non-coding RNA, 380 nt
Organism: Engraulis encrasicolus (European anchovy)
Lineage: Eukaryota; Metazoa; Chordata; Actinopteri; Clupeiformes; Engraulidae
Exons: 3
Source: RefSeq, a predicted model, not a curated record